This is a long non-coding RNA of Myodes glareolus (Bank vole), 606 nucleotides long. RefSeq lists it as uncharacterized. NCBI's taxonomy places the organism in Eukaryota, Metazoa, Chordata, Mammalia, Rodentia, Cricetidae. The record is from RefSeq and is a predicted model, not a curated record.
AAGAGAGAUACACAUAGAGAGAGAGUAGGCAGAGUCAGUGAGAAGCCAUCUAGCCGCCCACAGAAGACAGGCAUACCGAAACUUUCCAGUUGCAGAUGUGAGCUCUCAGCUGUUCCUGCCUCCAUACCUCAGCUCUGCCUUCAUGGACUCUGACCCUCUAAAACUAAGAGUGUUUGGGAUCCCCUGAGACUGGAGUUACGGAAGUUAGAAGUCACUAUGUAGGUGCUGAAAAUUUAACUGAAGUCCUCUGGAAGAACAACAGUGCUCCCAUCUACUGGAACAUUGAUGAACCAUUCUGCCUCAGUCUUUGAAAAACAGCAACCAAGUCUUUGUUUUAAAAAGUUGUUAUGACCAUCUUGCAACCCUACCUUUGUUUCAAAAGCUUAUUAUAAACACCUGUUGUUAUUGUUACCUUGUUGUUAUGACUACUUUGCUAUGUUCUGCUUCUAGAACCCCACCUAUUUGUCAAAUCCCACAUUUGAAAACCCCUACUCUUCAGUUACAAAAUCCUUAUCUCCCUCAUGUCCAAUACUGACCUCUUGAGCCCUACCUUAGGGAGAGACAGUCCAUGUACAUGAAUAAAAAAAGCUUGCUUUAAUAAUUUGA